Molecule: long non-coding RNA, 370 nt
Filed under: Linum usitatissimum (flax)
Lineage: Eukaryota; Viridiplantae; Streptophyta; Magnoliopsida; Malpighiales; Linaceae
Description: long non-coding RNA (LUSI_LNC007436)
Source: RNAcentral
CUGUUGGCCGUGGAUCAAACACGAAAAGUCACAAACUCGUUUCCCCAUCUAUUCCUUGCAUAUCACAGUCACCUGGCUUUUUGCAACAGAAAGAAAAAAACAGUCACCUGGCUUUGUGUUUUGACAAAAGGCUGCAUGUCAUCAACGCAAAAGCUUCAUUGUUUUAUGUUUAUAUGACAUUUUAUUAUUAUGAUCAUUUGUUUGUUGGUCUUGUUCUUGACUAAACAUGUCAAAUUGUUUGGCAAAAACGAAAUAGUAGUUGAUUCCGUGUGCGGAAUAAAAUCGAUAAGCCAUCUACGAAGAAGCGAAGGACAUAAUCCAAUUUCCUGCAUUUGGCCCGUACAAGUCUAUGAACGUGUUUCUUUAUUUU